GAGUUUGAUCCUGGCUCAGGAUGAACGCUAGCGGCAGGCUUAACACAUGCAAGUCGAGGGGUAUAAGUAGCUUGCUACUUAGAGACCGGCAAACGGGUGCGGAACACGUACGCAAUCUGCCCCUAUCUUGGAGAUAGCCCAUAGAAAUGUGGAUUAAUACCCAAUAGUAUAAUUGGAUGGCAUCAUUUGAUUAUUAAAGAAAUUCGGAUAGGGAUGAGCGUGCGUAAGAUUAGCUAGUUGGUGAGGUAACGGCUCACCAAGGCCACGAUCUUUAGCUGAUGUGAGAGCAUGAUCAGCCACACGGGCACUGAGACACGGGCCCGACUCCUACGGGAGGCAGCAGUGAGGAAUAUUGGUCAAUGGACGGAAGUCUGAACCAGCCAUGCCGCGUGAAGGAUGAAGGCGUUCUGCGUUGUAAACUUCUUUUAUCAGGGAAGAAACCUAUUUUUUCUAAGAUAGUUGACGGU
Molecule: ribosomal RNA, 467 nt
Filed under: potato plant root bacterium RC-III-90
Lineage: Bacteria
Description: bacterial SSU rRNA
Rfam family: Bacterial small subunit ribosomal RNA
Source: RNAcentral